UAUGUUUGAUGCUUCCUAGGAGUUGUGACAUGUGUUCAUUGCAGUUAAGAGGACACUCAUUUUAAAACACUGCGAUCGAUGGCCCCUUGAUUUAGUUACCCUGGCUAAUUAAAAUAGAUAUAAUAUAACAUCUAAAUUAUCAGUAACAAGCAUACAAACCAUUCAUUCAUCUUCCCUAACUAACAGUCGGCAGAAAAUAGACUUUAAUUUUUGCUCUAAUCAGGGAUUCGAAUCGGUUGUUUGUGGUAUGCACUUACCUGCAUGAUUGAAUCGCUUUAGUGUAAGUUUAUGUAUGUUAUCAGUUACUUGUCAGCAGUUUGUAAUGAGAGUGACACAUGAAGCAAAGGCUAUCAUAAAGUACGCGCCGGCAUUAAUCAGUAGGACGGUAAUCACUGCCUAGAGGUACAGCUGCUGCCCGCCAAGACGAUCAAUGAAUCAUGUUUCGAAACUCGUGAACCUCGACGCGGACUGCCUGCGUGGCGGCCAUUGCGGGAAGAGGCAGGGAAGGAGGAGCAUCGGUUGAAGGUUUGCACCACUGCUUUUGCAUUCAAUAGAUUUAGGGUGACUGUGGCUGCUGGACUUGGCUUGAGGACUCUGAUGCUGCUGCCUGAUCUGAAAUUCACAAGUGGGCUUGGUUGGGCAGAAGCGGACUGGUGGAAAAGCAAGGCCAGGGGGAAGAAAUUAAAAGAGAAGAAAAAAGCAGAAAAACACAUCGGGUCAAGUGUAUAUAAGUGUGCACUGUGAAGUAACUAAGUGCAUGCUGCAGGGUGUGAAGUAUCAGAAGUAUUGACUAUUGAGGAGGAAGACCUAAGAAGCGAUACAAAGCGUUACAGAUCAAAAGAAGAAGAAGAAGAAGAAGUUGCCCCCCCCCCCCCCCCCUCAGCUGGCGCCUUCCUCAAACUCAAAGUGAUGCAGACGCAGGACAUUCCACAACUGACUACACUCCUUCCUGCACGUGUCCACCUCAUUUGACCUGCCCAUCUGGUGGCGGCGGCCGGUCCCUCCUCAAGACUCACCUCGGUCAUCCGCCUCGCCUGCGCCCCACCACUCCUUGGCCGUCCAGUGCUGCAGGAACAGAAUUCCUGGAGUGGAAAGAAAGACUAGAGAUGGACGAGGGAGUCAAGUAUACACUUCGCUGCGGCGCCAGGAAAACACUUCAUGGCAGCAGGCAAACUUAGCACUGUCAAAGAUCUGGUGUGAAGAGGACGGCAGCACGGGAGAGCUCUAAAGAGAAUCAUCAUGGUACAAAAAGUCAAGGCACCUGUAAGAUGGGUCAGUUCUGUACAUCCUCAAUCGAUGUGCUGAGGAGUGAUGGCCAGAAUCAGGUGACUUAUUUUGUGGAUCACCAUGGUCACAACCUUGAUGUAGCAGCCCUCGUUCACAAGAAGCUUAAUGAACGUGAGGACAUAAUUUUAGCAUGGUGUAGUGUCAAUACUGCUGCAUGGUGUCUCGACCCUCAGGCACGUUGCCACCACUUCCCUGUGUGGCGAGAGGUCUUCUAGCAGUGAAGGGGUGACCCAGACAUCAGUCCAGGAGCUGUCAGGAAAGAGGGAAGGCUGCAAUUAGUUAUGAGCAAAACAACUUGGUUUUCUCCAGGUAAUCUACUUUCCCUGUGUUUAGAGUUGAUUUUAAUGCCUACAAGGUACCACCACUGAAUCCCUUCCGAGUAAAAAUCAGGGCAGCAAACGAAUGGAGUCACUGAUGAUCUACAAGGUCACUGCACCAGAGGCCACUUCUGCUGCACUAUUCUUGACGCCCUAGCCCAGCACUGAGGGCAUGAAGAAAAGAUGAUCCCACUCAAUUUGCAAUAGCUGGAGACACUUUUAAUCAACUUGCAAUGUCACAUGCUGCAAUUACGCUUGAAAUAAUCCUAUAAUAUAACACCGUUGAGUACCCUAACUGCUACUGGCACUCAGUGGUGUCAUAUUCCAAGAUUUUUUCACUGUUAUUGCAGUUUCUCUAAUGGUGUUGGGAUAGUGACAAGCUAAUAUUGGUUUACAUUUGUUACAUCAUAUAGCAUGCUAGGAAUCUUACAUUUUAUGAACUGUGAAACAUACUCACCUCAUGUCUGGAUGAUGUGUAGUGCGGCCACGGCCUGAUGAACGAGCACUACAGAUGUUAAAUAAAUAAUUCGGGGACAAGCA
Molecule: long non-coding RNA, 2144 nt
Organism: Eriocheir sinensis (Chinese mitten crab)
Lineage: Eukaryota; Metazoa; Arthropoda; Malacostraca; Decapoda; Varunidae
Exons: 6
Source: RefSeq, a predicted model, not a curated record